UACGUAGGGCGCAAGCGUUGUCCGGAAUUAUUGGGCGUAAAGAGCUCGUAGGCGGCUUGUCACGUCGAUUGUGAAAGCCCGAGGCUUAACCUCGGGUCUGCAGUCGAUACGGGCUAGCUAGAGUGUGGUAGGGGAGAUCGGAAUUCCUGGUGUAGCGGUGAAAUGCGCAGAUAUCAGGAGGAACACCGGUGGCGAAGGCGGAUCUCUGGGCCAUUACUAACACUCAGAGACGAAAGCUAGGGUAGCAAAUGGG
RNAcentral lists this ribosomal RNA (253 nucleotides) under uncultured bacterium. RNAcentral describes it as "partial 16S ribosomal RNA". It matches the Rfam family "Bacterial small subunit ribosomal RNA", at positions 524 to 776 of the family's 1533-position model. The record is from RNAcentral.